AGACUUAUAAAUUGAUCAUGAUGUCCAGAUAUUUAUUUCUUAGGCCAUGAUCCUGUCACCUUAGGUCGAUCGGUACCUCAUUUGAAUUGCAUAAAAACUUUUUUGUGAUUUGAAUCAGUUCCUAAACUUGUCUAGGUCACACCCAACAAGGGUUCCUGGGCCAUUAGCUCAGGUGGUUAGAGCGCACCCCUGAUAAGGGUGAGGUCCCUGGUUCAAGUCCAGGAUGGCCCAUUCGGUGUUGGGGGUAUAGCUCAGUUGGUAGAGCGCCUGCUUUGCAAGCAGGAUGUCAGCGGUUCGAGUCCGCUUACCUCCACUGAUCGACCUCCUGAUAACGAAGGCAAGGAAAUUUUGUUGAUUGUGAUUUAGGCUUAGUUCAGCUGAAUGAACCUAGCUUCCUAUCAUUCCUACAUCUUUAGAUUUCUAAUAGAUAAGGUUGACAGGACGCUGGGCUCACUACAUUUUCAUUAGAUAAAUGUAGAAAGAGUUCAGUAGAACCUUGACAACUGCAUAGUGAGUCUGGAAAGAAUAAAGCAUCUCAUGGAUGCAUUAUUCUUUAUAUUUCAUUUGAAAUCAUUUCUCUUGAUAUAUAUAAAGAAUCAAUGUAAAUUCUUGAGCAAGAUUAGAAACUCUAUAAAUAAUUUAUUACUUGUUUAUAGAGUUUAAU
This 664-nucleotide transfer RNA is filed under the name uncultured cyanobacterium. RNAcentral describes it as "partial 16S-23S intergenic spacer". The stretch from base 241 to 313 matches the Rfam family "tRNA". Lineage: Bacteria; Bacillati; Cyanobacteriota. The record is from RNAcentral.